Molecule: transfer RNA, 50 nt
Filed under: Heliconia rigida
Lineage: Eukaryota; Viridiplantae; Streptophyta; Magnoliopsida; Zingiberales; Heliconiaceae
Description: partial tRNA-Leu
Source: RNAcentral
AAAAUCCNUCGACUUUAGAAAUCGNGAGGGUUCAAGUCCCUCUAUCCCCA